RNAcentral lists this long non-coding RNA (2610 nucleotides) under Salvia miltiorrhiza (redroot sage). RNAcentral's name for it is "long non-coding RNA (SMIL_LNC002232)". The record is from RNAcentral. Lineage: Eukaryota; Viridiplantae; Streptophyta; Magnoliopsida; Lamiales; Lamiaceae.
CUUCUGAAAAACUUCAAGGCGUCAUCUAUCAUCUAAGAAAAACACUUUUAAAUGAUAUUCAAAACUCAAUUUAUGUUAAAUACUACUAAUUUUAUUGUGACAUAUCGUACUCUUUUAUGAAAACAUAUCUUGCUAUAUUAAAAAGUCAAAAUUUUAAUUUGAAAUCUAUUUAAAUUGAUUUAAAAAUUAAGAGGUAAUUUUAUAAUUACAAUAAAAUUAAGGUUUAUUUGUAAAUUACUAUUAUAUUUUUUUAUCUCCGGUUUUAUCUUCUUCUUUUUUAAAUUUUAUUUCUUUUUAAAAAUGCGAAAUUCUACUAAUUAUGUACUUCAUAUUUAAUAUGUAUAUCAAAUUAAAGAUCACGAUAAAAGCUUUAAUUUGAUAUAUUUUAUAUAAAAAUUUGAUUUAAAAUGUAAAAGCUUUAAUAUGUAUAUCAAAUUAAGUUGGUUUUAUUUUUUUCGUAUUCAGCUCAAAUAUAUUCAGUUAAUUAUUUUUUAAUUAUAUUUAUAAAUAUAAUAAUUGAGUUGAUAUAAAUUUUAUAUAAAUAUAGAUACAUAAAAAAGUUAUCCGUGUAUUUCACGGGGUAACUUACCAAAUAAAUCACCAACUAUUGAUCAAAUUUGUAAUUUUAACACAGAAUUCUAAAAGUUGACAAUUAAAUACACUUUUUUUUUCUUCUUGCAAUUGGAACUCAAAUCAACCGUAAAAUUAUCUUCUUUGGUGAAAUUGUCCAUUGUGACUCAAAUAUAAUCAAUGAACCAUACAUGAAAACGUUCCUUUUUUUCAGGAACAUCAAAGCCCAUAUAUUAAUUGCACGAGUCGUAUUCUAUUUUGGCAAGAAAGAGGCUAUAAAUGAGAACUCAAAUGGCCCAAAAAGCCACGACCCCAAAUGCAAAACUCACAGCUGAGUUCUAACUGCAAAUAAAAAUAAAAAUAUAGCUAGACUGUAUAUUUAAUUGUCAACUUUUGAAAUUAAAAAUGGGUUGUAGUUCAUAAUUUAUUUGACAAUUUACCCUAAAACAACUUGGAUAAGAAAAAUUAUGGUUUAUUAUAAAUAUACUUCGUAAUCAUUCUUGUUUAAAAAAAAAGAGGCAACACUACUUUAUGUGUUCAUGGAAACCACCAUCAAUGUACACUGGACUGGAUAUGAUUGUAAAUGAAUCGAGGUAUGUGUGUGUUGGCCUAGCGGUAGGAGGUUAAUAUCCAAGACCCGAGGUCUUGGGUUCAAGUUUUCCGUUGCGUGGUCUUUAAAUUUCUUUAUUUACUUACAAUUUGUUUGAGACUGAGCUCGAAACAAAUUCAUUCGGAUCUCGAUUCAAUAAUAAACGAGUUGAGUUUGACUUUGAUUUCGAGCUCAAUAACUUUAUCAAGCCGACCUCAAGUCUGACAGCACUCAACUCAUUGAACUCACGAACAUAUAUAUGUUCAGAUUCUUUUAUUUGCGAGCCUAUUCAAGAACUUGCAAUCGAGCUAGUGCAUGAGCCUUAAACAAGUCGAGUUUGAGUGAUAUAUUGAUUAAGAUUAAGAGCACAUUUUCAAUAUUUUCAAGCCUUUUAUGAGUCUUUAAUCAGUUUGAAUUCGAACAUCAUUUAUACUAACAUCUUGAGUCGAGUUCGAGCUGAAACUCGAAUUCAACAUUAUUGGGCAUCACUCGAGCCGAACUCGAAUAGAGAUCAAAUCCGAUCAACAAGAGGAAGCUCGAACACCAAAAUAUUUAGACGAGCCGAACUUGAGCAUGCUAGUAUUCGGCUAAGCUCGUUAGCAGCUUUAGCAAUGGGGUAAACUCAUGCUCUUAGGUAAACAGAUGAUAGAUAAAUCUUACUUGAAAAACAAGUGUAACAGGCUCAAACCUAUAAAAGUGUUGGUGAGAUUCAAAGCGUGGUUCAUUUAAUCUUGGAAAUACUCACUUUAACCACUAAAUAGUACCAAAAAAUAAGAAGAGAAAAAUAAUAAUAAUACUCUAAGAACAUCCACUAUAGAGUUUUUUUAUGGGGUUGAGCAAAAAUACAAUAAUAUUCUAAGGAUUAUUUGUUCUACUUAGAAUGAAAGAUGAAUUAGGGUUGAGCAAGAGAAUCCUAUUUAAAGAGGCGAAAUAAUAUUUUGAGGACAUAUUUUCUGUAUACUUUGAUUAUUAUUUAAUUUAUUAUUGUAUCUCACAUGCGUUUUUUUUUUUGUAUUUUUGUUUUUUUUUAAGUAUGAAAGUGUCUAGAAGUUAUAAAGUGAUCAAUCUAGUUGUUGUGAUAGCUUCGGUUUAUUCUUGCAAAAAAUAAUGUUACUUUAUUGAUAAAUUAGAUGGUGAAUGAGUUGAGGUUGCAUCUAGAUUGUAAGUCGUGGGCUUAUUGUCCAUCACGGGUAAAACUUUGGGAAUGUAUGAGGGCGUAAUAAGAAUAUGGAGCAUUAUUGUGUAAGAUUCUUUAUAUCUUAAUUUUAGAUGGUAGAUUGUUUUUCCGAACAAGACCUCCUAAAUGUAAGUGUGUUAUCAGCAAAUUGGGUGACCAAUUUAUAUGUACUAUUAUUUAUUGUUGUAGUACAUUAUUAAGUAUUGGUUUCACUGACUGUGUUACUAAUAUUUAUUAUGAGUAUUUAUGUGUAAAGAUAUGUAAGAUUUUUUUU